RNAcentral lists this long non-coding RNA (476 nucleotides) under Capsella rubella. RNAcentral's name for it is "long non-coding RNA (CRUB_LNC001838)". Lineage: Eukaryota; Viridiplantae; Streptophyta; Magnoliopsida; Brassicales; Brassicaceae. The record is from RNAcentral.
UUUUGCCGCUUUUGACAAAACCAUAGCCAUCUUAUUCUUUGACAUUAUACUAUAAAUUAUUAUUUGUUCUUACGUCAAUACUCAAAUAAUCGUUCCAAAAUAUUGGUCUUCAUUAUACUUCAAAAUAUACAUAAGCUGACCAGAACUACGUUUACUUCAACCAAAUUGUGUUUUAACUACGAAUUUUUUUCAUGGCUCCACGAUAAAAAAAAAAAAAAAAAACAAUCGUAUUUGUUGGUAUACUAUAUAUAAUUUGGAACGUACAAGUACUUGAUCGAAGAUGAUAAGAUGAAAUCUGAAACGAUAGAUAGAGCUCACCGGCAAGCAAAACAUGGCACGUGAGAAGAACCUAAACUUGUUAUCAAAGUUAUUCCUCAACUCUACAUUUUUGCACUGAACAAUUUUGUUUUGUCAGUCCUGACUAGUCAGUCUAACAAAAGGCUACAGGGUACGUAUAUUCUUUAUCUAAUAAUUCC